Molecule: unclassified non-coding RNA, 241 nt
Filed under: plant metagenome
Description: partial contains small subunit ribosomal RNA, internal transcribed spacer 1, and 5.8S ribosomal RNA
Source: RNAcentral
UUUCCGUAGGUGGACCUGCGGAAGGAUCAUUAAAGAGUAAGGGUCUUCGGGCCCGAUCUCCAACCCUUUGUUUAACUACCAUGUUGCUUUGGCGGGCCCGUCUCACGACUGCCGGAAGUUUGGCUUCGACCAAACUUCUGGCCCGUGCCCGUCAGUGGCCCCUUCAAAUUCUUGAUAAAGUAUGAUGUCUUAGUUAAGAACUUAAUAGUUAAAACUUUCAACAACGGAUCUCUUGGUUCUG